CUUUUUGUCACACAAUAAUUCAUGUUUGGGAAAUCCAUUUUAUAAUAAUGUGCUAAGAAUGUUAACAUGCCUAAUCGAUAUUUAGACAAAAUCCUCUGAAAGCCUCAGAUUCCUCCACAGAAUGCUAGCCAAGUAUCUAAUUCUGAUUUGGCAUCUAAUUUUAUUCCUGGGAAUAAUUCAAAAUUUACUUCUCCAUUAGAGUCUAAUCAUUCUUUGUUCUAUCCCCAAAUACUUUUGGUCAGGCAAAAGCACCACCUCCCAAAACAAGACUUUAGUCAAGGAGGAACCCAAAUCACCAAUCAAAAUUCGCCUGUUCAUCUCAUUCACUUGAAUAUGGAGGAUAUAGUGACUUAGAGUAAUAUUGAAUUUAAAAAUGUUAAAACAAUUCAGUAAAUCAAGAAAACAGCCAUUUGAGUAGCACUGAAGCUACAAAUAACAGCCUUGUAAAUGGGACCCAGAACAAGCCAGGACACCUGGAGGAGCAGUAGAUGCUUGUACCACCAAAAACUGCUAUAAGUGCUGUCUCCAUCUAAACUCAUGAGCAUUCAAUCUUCAACCCACUGUAUCCUUGUGGAAUUUGUACAAACGAAGUGGCUGAUGAUCAGGAUGCCAUCUUAUGUGAGGCCUCUCCUCAUAAAUGGUUUCAUCAAACCUGUACUGGAAUAACUGAAAGAGUGUAUGACCUACUACCCGCAGAAGCAGUCUUUGGCUGUGUUACCUGUAUGGAAGAUGAAGAUGUCCAGUUAAUGCCCACUAGAGAAACUUUUGGUCCACCUGCAGUGGGCAAUGAUGCUUAGUCACAAGCAUUAAUAACUAAAGUAAUUUUUCUGUCUGUGUAUUAUAGAGGUUCAGUGAUAUAGGAUUUAAUGUUUUAUAUUUUUUGAAUGCACACACAAAAACAUUACCUUUCAGUUUUUAUUAAUAUAUUAUUUCCUUACUAGUGCAACUUUUGUUUUCAAUGCUCUCUAAGUCAAAAUAAUGUGUGUGGAGGAAU
Molecule: long non-coding RNA, 994 nt
Filed under: Marmota monax (woodchuck)
Lineage: Eukaryota; Metazoa; Chordata; Mammalia; Rodentia; Sciuridae
Source: RNAcentral